CUCAUCACUCAUCUUAUAUGUACAUCGUCUUCACUAGUGAAAGUCCUAACAACACAAGAUGGUCUCCUCUCUGGAAAAGUUUAUUUUUCAACGAUGUUGAUUACCAAUGGAAGAAGAUGAAUCUGGGUUAUUUGAGCAAUACUGCAAUAGAAAUAUUUAAAUAUGAAAAUGUUUCUAUAGCAAACUCUGUAAUAUAUUUUAAAUUAAGACUAGUUUUUACCAAUAGUAAUUAUAUUGAUACUGACUGGAAGAGACUUAUACUUAAUGAUCAUGAUGUAGUUUCAAUAAAAAAUUGUUUUAAUCAUGUUCCUACCUUUUUAGCAAUGUUUGGAAUUGUUUGUACAUGUUGGAUCGUUUUUAUGAUGUUCAUAGCGUUAGGUUUGGCUUAAAAACUGCAAUUAAAAAUUUAUUUAGGUGUAUGACUUUGUUAGUUUAAGUAUGUAGUUUGUUUUAUGUCUAAUAAAAAAUAAUAUUCAUUCUGAUUAUUUUUGUUAUCAUAUUUCCUGUCUAACGUUUUUUUCCUUAAAAACGUUAAAUUUUUAUCAGUUAUAUUUUGAAUUUUUUGAAUUUUUACGUAAGGAACCACAAUAUCCGGUUGCAAAGUUUAUGGAAUAUAAAAUCAUAUCGCAUCAAUGAUUAAUUCAUUUCUACUUCGACUGUCCGUGUAUGAAAGUAAUCAUGUUCAAGUGCUCUCAAUGCGAUAACAAGUUUACUCGCAAAGAUGCUUUAACACGUCAUGUAAAAAAACAUAGUGAUAAAUUAUCUAAACUCACUUGCACCGGAUGUAAAACGUCAUUUACGAGAUUUGAUAACUAUAGGCGUCAUAUUACAAAUUCAUCAUUGUGUUCAAUGGAUUCGGAUGAUAUGACUCCUAAAAAAGCCCGCCUGACAACUAGAACACCUUUACAAGAAGUUACUACUAACGCUCCAUCAUGUUCAUUUCAUCAAUUUUGUGAAAUAUGCAAUAGUCACUACAGAGGAUCCAGAUUAAACCAUUUACGUUCUUUAAAACAUAAAAGUGUCAUCUCCGCCAAAAUUAAUGAUGAUGAUGAUUUCGUUGAAGAAUAUCAAGUUGCCUUCAAAUCAAGAAUUACCUCAUACCGAUUGAAAAAUUCACAACUAGAUGACUUGGAAGUGUGCAAUUUUUUUGAAAGAAAUCAAGAUAAACUUAUCACUUUAAUAACUAGAAAACUGAGAGAAUUUAACCAACUUAAAAUUAAUUUCGAACUUUUUGCUAAAUAUAUUUUACCUUCUAAAGACAUUAUCGAAAUCAAAUCAUUCAACACUAAAAAUAUCAUCAUUUCAAUAUCGACAAAUAUUAAGGUAGAACUGGAAGAAAUAUGUGGCGUCAUAAAAAACAAAAUGAGUGAAUUCUUGGAAAAAGAUAGUGGUUGGAUUUUAAUGGAAAUUUUGUUUUUGGAACUUAAUAUCAACAAAUUCAAUCCACUACGUGCAUCAACAUAUAUACCAUUACCGAAGGACAUAGCGAAGCGGAGAGCGGUUAUCAAUAUUCAUAAUGAUGAUAAUGAAUGUUUCAAAUGGUCUGUUUUGGCACACCUUCAUUCAACUGAAGUUUCCAAAAUAGACAGCACUAUCCACUCUACCUACCUGAGGUUCGACUCCCCAUGGAAGGAACAACAACAACAACAACUUUUUUUGCAUUAUAUUUUAAACAAAUAACAAAAUAAACUUGGUGCGCAACAGACAAGUUAGGCAAACAACAUUACAAAAAUAAAAAACUACAUAUA
Molecule: long non-coding RNA, 1748 nt
Organism: Tribolium castaneum (red flour beetle)
Lineage: Eukaryota; Metazoa; Arthropoda; Insecta; Coleoptera; Tenebrionidae
Exons: 6
Source: RefSeq, a predicted model, not a curated record